GAUGAACGCUAGCGGCAGGCCUAACACAUGCAAGUCGAGGGGCAGCAUAAUUCGCUUGCGAAUUGAUGGCGACCGGCGCACGGGUGCGUAACGCGUAUGCAACCUACCCUGUACAGAGGGAUAGCCCGGAGAAAUUCGGAUUAAGACCUCAUGGUAUUGUUUGAUCGCAUGAUUGAAUAAUUAAAGGUUACGGUACAGGAUGGGCAUGCGUCCUAUUAGUUAGAUGGUGGGGUAACGGCUUACCAUGACGACGAUAGGUAGGGGGCCUGAGAGGGUGAUCCCCCACACUGGUACUGAGACACGGACCAGACUCCUACGGGAGGCAGCAGUGAGGAAUAUUGGUCAAUGGACGCAAGUCUGAACCAGCCAUGCCGCGUGCAGGAAGAAUGUCCUAUGGAUUGUAAACUGCUUUUAUUUGAGAAUAACCCCCUUUACGAGCUAGAGGGCUGAAUGUAUCAAAUGAAUAAGCACCGGCUAACUCCG
This 483-nucleotide ribosomal RNA is filed under the name uncultured Fluviicola sp. RNAcentral describes it as "bacterial SSU rRNA". It matches the Rfam family "Bacterial small subunit ribosomal RNA", at positions 28 to 505 of the family's 1533-position model. The record is from RNAcentral. Lineage: Bacteria; Pseudomonadati; Bacteroidota; Flavobacteriia; Flavobacteriales; Crocinitomicaceae.